CUACGGGUGGCAGCAGUGAGGAAUAUUGCACAAUGGGGGGAACCCUGAUGCAGCAACGCCGCGUGGAGGAUGACGCAUUUCGGUGUGUAAACUCCUUUUAUAUGUCAAGAAAAUGACGGUAGCAUAUGAAUAAGCACCGGCUAACUCCGUGCCAGCAGCCGCGGUAAUACGGAGGGUGCAAGCGUUACUCGGAAUCACUGGGCGUAAAGGACGCGUAGGCGGGUUGGAAAGUCAGGUGUGAAAUCCUACAGCUUAACUGUAGAACUGCACUUGAAACUUCUAAUCUAGAGUAUGGGAGGGGGAGAUGGAAUUAGUGGUGUAGGGGUAAAAUCCGUAGAUAUCACUAGGAAUACCUAAAGCGAAGGCGAUCUCCUGGAACAUUACUGACGCUAAGGUGUGAAAGUGUGGGGAGCAAACAGGAUUAGAUACCCUGGUAGUC
RNAcentral lists this ribosomal RNA (439 nucleotides) under uncultured bacterium. RNAcentral describes it as "partial 16S ribosomal RNA". It matches the Rfam family "Bacterial small subunit ribosomal RNA", at positions 339 to 795 of the family's 1533-position model. The record is from RNAcentral.